This 253-nucleotide ribosomal RNA is filed under the name uncultured bacterium. RNAcentral's name for it is "partial 16S ribosomal RNA". It matches the Rfam family "Bacterial small subunit ribosomal RNA", at positions 524 to 776 of the family's 1533-position model. The record is from RNAcentral.
UACGUAGGUGGCAAGCGUUGUCCGGAUUUACUGGGCGUAAAGGGCGCGUAGGCGGCCUGUUAAGUCGAACGUGAAAUCCCCGGGCUCAACCCGGGAACUGCGUCCGAGACUGGCAGGCUCGAAUCCGGGAGAGGGAUGUGGAAUUCCAGGUGUAGCGGUGAAAUGCGUAGAUAUCUGGAGGAACAUCGGUGGCGAAGGCGGCAUCCUGGACCGGUAUUGACGCUGAGGCGCGAAAGCCAGGGGAGCAAACGGG